RNAcentral lists this ribosomal RNA (368 nucleotides) under Klebsiella pneumoniae. RNAcentral describes it as "partial 16S ribosomal RNA". It matches the Rfam family "Bacterial small subunit ribosomal RNA", at positions 466 to 796 of the family's 1533-position model. The record is from RNAcentral. Lineage: Bacteria; Pseudomonadati; Pseudomonadota; Gammaproteobacteria; Enterobacterales; Enterobacteriaceae.
CGAUUGACGUUACCCGCAGAAGAAGCACCGGCUAACUCCGUGCCAGCAGCCGCGGUAAUACGGAGGGUGCAAGCGUUAAUCGGAAUUACUGGGCGUAAAGCGCACGCAGGCGGUCUGUCAAGUCGGAUGUGAAAUCCCCGGGCUCAACCUGGGAACUGCAUUCGAAACUGGACGUAUAGGAAAUUGAAAAACCAGUCGAUACCAUUGUCCACGCCUUAUGCCACGUGAGCCUUUCUGCUUUUCCCACCACUCCGGUGGUUUCCCUCUCUGUAUGGUCGAUUUUUAUACCGUAACAGGCUGUUUUUUAUACUUUCACCGAUUCCCGGGCACACUUAGCCUGUGUCAGGCCGGCAUAUACCUCAGUAGAC